RNAcentral lists this long non-coding RNA (235 nucleotides) under Lupinus angustifolius (narrow-leaved blue lupine). RNAcentral's name for it is "long non-coding RNA (LANG_LNC000850)". The record is from RNAcentral. Lineage: Eukaryota; Viridiplantae; Streptophyta; Magnoliopsida; Fabales; Fabaceae.
UUACAACUCUAUCAUUUCAGUUUUGUUCACUUACAAAUAUAAUCCCUACUUCAAAGUCUCAGUUCACCACACACUAUUGCCUUUGUUUUCAUUACAAUCAUUUCUUCUUUUUCCUUAAGUAACUCAUACCACAAUUAAUAACCCCUAUAAAGAAGAAGAAAAAAAGUCAAUAUACCAAAAGUCUCUAUUGUCAUUCUUCUUCAAUUGUUUUGCUUCCUCCUUAUCCUCAUCAUCC